This 124-nucleotide ribosomal RNA is filed under the name Apheloria sp. LS-2010. RNAcentral's name for it is "partial 12S ribosomal RNA". The record is from RNAcentral. Lineage: Eukaryota; Metazoa; Arthropoda; Diplopoda; Polydesmida; Xystodesmidae.
AGUAAUUAUUUUUGUAGAUUUAAUAAGUGAAGGGUGGAAUAACAUGUGUACAUAUUGCCCGUCGCUCUCGUUAUUUUUGAGAUAAGUCGUAACAUAGUUGAUGAACUGGAAAGUGUAUCUUUUU